GAUGAACGCUGGCGGCGUGCCUAAUACAUGCAAGUCGAGCGAACAGAUGAGGAGCUUGCUCCUAUGACGUUAGCGGCGGACGGGUGAGUAACACGUGGAUAAACUACCUAUAAGACUGGGAUAACUUCGGGAAACCGGAGCUAAUAACGGAAAAUAUAUUGAACCGCAUGGUUCAAUAGUGAAAGACGGUUUUGCUGUCACUUAUAGAUGGAUCCGCGCCGCAUUAGCUAGUUGGUAAGGUAACGGCUUACCAAGGCAACGAUGCGUAGCCGACCUGAGAGGGUGAACGGCCACACCGGAACUGAGACACGGUCCAGACUCCUACGGGAGGCAGCAGUAGGGAAUCUUCCGCAAUGAGCGAAAGCCUGACGGAGCAACGCCGCGUGAGUGAUGAAGGUCUUCGGAUCGUAAAACUCUGUAAUUAGGGAAGAACAAAUGUGUAAGUAACUAGGCACGUCUUGACGGUACCUAAUCAGAAAGCCACGGCUAACUACGUG
This 497-nucleotide ribosomal RNA is filed under the name uncultured bacterium. Its description in RNAcentral is "partial 16S ribosomal RNA". It matches the Rfam family "Bacterial small subunit ribosomal RNA", at positions 28 to 507 of the family's 1533-position model. The record is from RNAcentral.